This is a long non-coding RNA of Oncorhynchus kisutch (coho salmon), 870 nucleotides long. RefSeq lists it as uncharacterized. The transcript has 3 exons. The record is from RefSeq and is a predicted model, not a curated record. NCBI's taxonomy places the organism in Eukaryota, Metazoa, Chordata, Actinopteri, Salmoniformes, Salmonidae.
UUAAAACUCAAAAACAGUACAAGUUUGCAUUACCUGCUUUGUAAGAAAAUUCUCAGCAACAAAAAACUCAUCAAAUUAAGAUCCCACAUCUGUACACAGCACUGAUAGUCAUGCAGAAGUUUGCAGGGUUGAUUUCUAAUGCUUCCAUGCUUCUGACAUUCUUGACUUCUUCUUGGCCGUGUAUGUGUGUCACUGACUGUGUGCGUAACUUGUUUGUCACUGACUGUGUGUGUAACUUGUGUGUCACUGAUUAUGUGUAACUUGUGUGUCCCUAACAGGGUGAGCCUGUUGGCAAAGUACUGCAGCACUCAUCUCCACACUGUCAAAAUGAGCUUCUGCCAGAUCAGCCCAGAGGCCAUCCACAACCUCAGCAGGCAGUGCAAACGUUUGAAGCUACUGCACCUCUACGGCUGUGCCUACAUCCCUACUGAGAAGGAGAUCAGAGACAUCAACCCCACUGUUACACUCUACCCGCUGACUUGAUACACACACUAGAGCGUUGGACCAGUAACCAAAAGGUUGCUGGAUUGAAUCCCUGAGCUGACUAGGUUGAAGCCUCUGCAUCUCUACGGCUGUGCCUACAUCCCUACUGAGAAGGAGAUCAGAGACAACAACCCCACUGUUACACUCUACCCGCUGACUUGAUACAGACACACUUAUUGUUGAAAUUGGUAACACAUCUGACAAACUCCUCCACAGUUACCACGACUUUGUAAAUACAGCCUGUGUGAUAUAAAGAAUGAAGAGUGCCCACAGCACAAGUGUGUCAAGGGCCCUCCUUCCAUCACCUCCUUCAUACAGUGAUGUGGUGUCAGGCAAGCUUUAUCCAAAUUACAUCUAUCUAGUCAAGAUACAAAUAUUUUGUAGAUU